RNAcentral lists this long non-coding RNA (641 nucleotides) under Anser cygnoides (Swan goose). Its description in RNAcentral is "lncRNA (ENSACDG00005013447.1)". Lineage: Eukaryota; Metazoa; Chordata; Aves; Anseriformes; Anatidae. The record is from RNAcentral.
AUGUUAGAACAGCAUUGCCAGCCUUGUGCAAUUCAGUCUUGCUACUCGUCAUUCACUCUGUUUCCAGAGCUCUGCAUAGCACUGCUUUGUGCAGUGCAUAUGGACCUCUGCAUUCCUACUACAACCCUUGAAUUGUGUUCCUGUUUCUUCCAGCCUUCUCCCAGAAGUGCAGAUGGUACAGCCUGGCUUCUCAUUGUUCAACAGAUACUGUGCAGGUAUGCUCUCACAGUGGAACAAACUGAGUGUGAACCCGCCUUUUGCCCACAUGGUGAAGGUGGUGGUGCACACCUCUUCUCGUGCUGCCUGGAGUGGACAGCGGAGGAAGAGCCAAGACUCCAGGUGAUCUGGACGUAAAUCAAAAAAUGUUGUUCAGGAUCCAAGCUGAAUAGUUCGGGUUUUAAUACAAUAUUUCAGUGUGAAACCAAAACAAAUGUUAAACCUUGGAAGCUGUAUAAAAUUGAAUUGUCAUUAUCUAGUCAGUUUUUGUUUUAAGCACCUUGAAUUGUAGUGAAGACAAUAAGAAAUGAAAAUGCUCAACUAUUUCAGGAUUCAGCCUAUAGCAGUGUAGGACACACUCAGCACAGGCUGUUGAUUGUAGCCAUCCUUCACGGCAGUCAUUCAUUAUAUAAUUUCAAAGGUAA